Molecule: non-coding RNA, 98 nt
Filed under: bacterium
Lineage: Bacteria
Source: RNAcentral
GGGGAUGAACAGUUUCGAUGGCGGGGAUUCAUGAGCGUUGCCGUGGUAAGCUUCGCUCACCCUGUCAGACCCGGGUGCGAUUCCCGGCAUCUCCACCA